Molecule: ribosomal RNA, 279 nt
Filed under: uncultured bacterium
Lineage: Bacteria
Description: partial 16S ribosomal RNA
Rfam family: Bacterial small subunit ribosomal RNA
Source: RNAcentral
GAUAAACGCUGGCGGCGUGCCUAACACAUGCAAGUCGAACGCCCUACGCUUGCGUAGGGAGUGGCGGACGGGUGAGGAACACGUGGGUCAUCUACCCAGAGGUGAGGAAUACCGGCGAGAAAUCGCCGACAAUACCGCAUACGUUCUGAAAAGAACAAAGUCGCAAGACGCCUUUGGAUGAGCCUGCGCCCGAUUAGUUAGUUGGUGGGGUAAAAGCCUACCAAGACUGCAAUCGGUAGCNGGUCUGAGAGGACGAUCAGCCACACUGGGAUUGAGAAC